RNAcentral lists this long non-coding RNA (241 nucleotides) under Mytilus galloprovincialis (Mediterranean mussel). The record is from RNAcentral. Lineage: Eukaryota; Metazoa; Mollusca; Bivalvia; Mytilida; Mytilidae.
CAAAACAGACAUUUAUACCAGUAUUGUCUGUAGUCUAAAAGGGGGUUCAUACAAAACAGACAUUUAUACCAGCAUUGUCUGUAGUCUAAAAGAGGGGGUUCACACAAAACAGACAUUUAUACCAGCAUUGUCUGUAGUCUAAAAGGGGGGUUCAUACAAAACAGACAUUUAUACAAGUAUUGUCUGUAGUCUAAAAGGGGGGUUCAUACAAAAUAGACAUUUAUACAAGUAUUGUCUGUAG